AGGAUCAGAGUAUGCUUGCUGGCUCAUCUGACCAACUAAAUCAGGCAGAGAAUCACUAGCAUGUUCUUCAGGAGGAUCACCGGGAAUCUCAGUCACUUCACAGCUCUCACGAGUUCCGUCGACAUUGAGGUCAAAAAUUUGAUACCAAGCCGGCAGCUCUUCUUCAUCUCUAGUAGGAUCACCAUCAGCAACUUCAAUUUCAAUUUGUGGAGUUUCCUCGACAAGUUCAGAUUCAUGUUCAGUUUGCGGAGCCUCGAUUUCACCUGCCACUUGAAGUUCAGUUCCAAGCUCAAUUUCCAUUUGUGGAGUUUCCUCAACAAGUUCAGGUUCACUUUGCAGAGCCUCCAUUUCACCUGCCACUUGAAGUUCAGUUCCAUGCUCAAUUUCCAUUUGUGGAGUUUCCUCGACAAGUUUAGUUUCAGGUUCACUUUGCAGAGCCUCCAUUUCACCUGCCACUUGAAGUUCAGUUCCA
This 472-nucleotide long non-coding RNA is filed under the name Triticum aestivum (bread wheat). Its description in RNAcentral is "long non-coding RNA (TAES_LNC021612)". Lineage: Eukaryota; Viridiplantae; Streptophyta; Magnoliopsida; Poales; Poaceae. The record is from RNAcentral.